CUGGCUAGGAAGAGUAGAUGUAUUUAGGGUGAUUUCAGACUGGUUGAUAAGGAUUGGGCUGGAAACUCCCCAGUGGGUCCUUAUUUCCAUUAUGUCUCCCAUGUGACCGGAUCUGCUCAGAAGUUUUUAGGAUGCUCCAGAUGAUGGUGUUUCAUGAAUCAGCACCAGGAGAAAGAGCCCAUCCUUGUCUGCUCUGCAGGCCACAAAGACCAGCAGGAUAUGAAACAGCACUUCCACUAUCUCUCCUCCAAGCCACUACAUCAGAAAUAUUAAUGAAGGAAAAAUCUUCAAAUGGGGAUUCAUGUACUGCAGGGAUGAGUGAAGAGUUGCAUUUUUGGAGCAUGUCAGGUGCUGCAGUUGAAUCUGAGGAUGGACUAAACCAAUGAGGAGAGAUGACCAUGUGCAUUCUCAGCCUGAGACAGCAGUGUGGUCUGGCAGCCAGGAGUGUAAAGUGCAUUUUUGGGUGCAUCAAAUACAGCAUGGUCAGCAGGUCAGAAGAGGAAUGAAUGAGAAGCUGUUUAGCUGCUGAGCAUACUGCAGGUCCCACUCCCUUGUGAAGAUGCUGAAUUUCUAUCACCUUCCCUAAUCAAGUGGUGGCAGGAGGUCCAGGAGGAGCAGGCUGAUGCAAACUACUGCAAAAGAAGAGAGGUUUCCAGUGGGACAACUUUUGUGACUGAGCAAAGAGAGGCAUCAUACUGCUGACAGACAUCAGCUGCAUUUAACUGAUGACAAGAUAAAGGUAGGAGCAGAGCACAAGUGGGUCAAGCAUAGAAGCUUAUAAAGGUCGCAUUGGAACCCAGGAUGUUGAAAAAAAUUGGAAGGUAAAUUUUGAAAUGGACAGUUUCAAAGUUUCCAAGUGUGCUCUUAGAGCUAUUGGAACCAACAUGUGACAGCCAGAGGAAAAAGUGGAGUGGACAAUGGACUUGGAGAUGUCAAGGCAGCCAUAUACAGUGAGGAGGAGCAUUACCUGGGAGUGGACUUCGAAAUGAUAGCCUGUCUUUUUGUUCAACUCUGUUGGAGUCCACUUGAUGAUGGGUAUUGCAAGAUAAUAUUAAUACCAUGCCAUCAAAAUUUGUCAAUCCAAAGAGAGCAGGGGACAGGGCAUUCCUUCAUUCCUCUUGACAUGUUUGUAUUUGCCAUUGCCCCAUAGGAGAUGAGGAACUGCAGACUGAUGGAAGGGCUGACCUGCUUUUGGUUUGUCAAUCUCAAGAAGGUGCUGCGCAUCAGCUGUGGCAACAGACCACUUCCAUCACAGGCUUCCACUAAGGGGAAAACUGGAACUUCAGAAGAACAACUCAAGGAUGAGAGAAAACAUGUUUUCACAAAACGGAGCACAGCAAAAAAAUCAAGACUUGGAAAAACCUGUUGGUCAUCAUUAGGUUUUCAGCUCAUCUAGUGCAAAGCUCUGGUAUUUGGUAGAUUGUGCUGUGAAACUGUGUGCUCAGGUUGGAUAUUAGGAAAAAUUUAUUCUCCAAAAGAGUGGUAAU
This is a long non-coding RNA of Centrocercus urophasianus (Greater sage-grouse), 1487 nucleotides long. RefSeq lists it as uncharacterized. The record is from RefSeq and is a predicted model, not a curated record. The transcript is spliced from 10 exons. Lineage: Eukaryota; Metazoa; Chordata; Aves; Galliformes; Phasianidae.